Molecule: long non-coding RNA, 519 nt
Filed under: Linum usitatissimum (flax)
Lineage: Eukaryota; Viridiplantae; Streptophyta; Magnoliopsida; Malpighiales; Linaceae
Description: long non-coding RNA (LUSI_LNC001774)
Source: RNAcentral
UUCAGGCUGAAUUGGAUGGGGUGGCAAAACUUCCAAGAUCAGCUCUAAUAGUUCCUCCAUAUCUAACUCUGGUCUUUGUUGCUCUAUCUCUUCUUCUUGUUGCUCUAUCAGCUGUGGUCAUAUAACCCCAAAAGAAAAGAAAGGAGCUCAUUACGCACAUCUGAGAAACAACAGUACCACCAGCAACGAUAUAGAUGUCUCUGUCAUUUACUGCAAAGGAUCGCCACUUAAGAGUCUUGAAUUUAAGUAAAAUCAACAAGAUGACAGCUCGACUGUCGAGUGGAAAUCCCAACCUCUUAGGAAGGAAGAGUUGAUCUCUUUGUAAUAAAGUACUAACAGACUGAAGACAACAAUAGCUGGGCCAAAGCUUCUUCAGAAAACAAUGCAGAGGCAAAGCUCAAAAAAAAUUAUAUUACCAGAUGAAGUUCCACCAAUUGAGAAGGUCUGGUGUUGAUGAUAUUGAGAAUCUCAGAUUGUGCAAUCUUAUAUUUCUUGCUCUUCUUCAGGAACUCAUUGAUG